Molecule: ribosomal RNA, 467 nt
Filed under: uncultured bacterium
Lineage: Bacteria
Description: partial 16S ribosomal RNA
Rfam family: Bacterial small subunit ribosomal RNA
Source: RNAcentral
GACGAACGCUGGCGGCGUGCUUAACACAUGCAAGUCGAACGGAAAGGCCCUGCUUUUGUGGGGUGCUCGAGUGGCGAACGGGUGAGUAACACGUGAGUAACCUGCCCUUGACUUUGGGAUAACUUCAGGAAACUGGGGCUAAUACCGGAUAGGAGCUCCUGCUGCAUGGUGGGGGUUGGAAAGUUUCGGCGGUUGGGGAUGGACUCGCGGCUUAUCAGCUUGUUGGUGGGGUAGUGGCUUACCAAGGCUUUGACGGGUAGCCGGCCUGAGAGGGUGACCGGCCACAUUGGGACUGAGAUACGGCCCAGACUCCUACGGGAGGCAGGAGUGGGGAAUAUUGCAAAAUGGGCGGAAGCAUGCUGCAGGAACGCCGCGUGCGGGAUGACGGCCUUCGGGUUGGAAACCGCUUUCGCCUGUGACGAAGCGUGAGGGACGGUAAUGGGUAAAGAAGCACCGGCUAACUACGU